This 468-nucleotide ribosomal RNA is filed under the name uncultured bacterium. RNAcentral's name for it is "partial 16S ribosomal RNA". It matches the Rfam family "Bacterial small subunit ribosomal RNA", at positions 28 to 507 of the family's 1533-position model. The record is from RNAcentral.
GACGAACGCUGGCGGCGUGCUUAACACAUGCAAGUCGAACGGAAAGGCCCUGCUUUUGUGGGGUGCUCGAGUGGCGAACGGGUGAGUAACACGUGAGUAACCUGCCCUUGACUUUGGGAUAACUUCAGGAAACUGGGGCUAAUACCGGAUAGGAGCUCCUGCUGCAUGGUGGGGGUUGGAAAGUUUCGGCGGUUGGGGAUGGACUCGCGGCUUAUCAGCUUGUUGGUGGGGUAGUGGCUUAUCAAGGCUUUGACGGGUAGCCGGCCUGAGAGGGUGACCGGCCACAUUGGGACUGCGAUACGGCCCAGACUCCUACGGGAGGCAGCAGUGGGGAAUAUUGCACAAUGGGCGGAAGCCUGAUGCAGCAACGCCGCGUGCGGGAUGACGGCCUUCGGGUUGUAAACCGCUUUCGCCUGUGACGAAGCGUGAGUGACGGUAAUGGGUAAAGAAGCACCGGCUAACUACGUG